Molecule: transfer RNA, 93 nt
Filed under: bacterium
Lineage: Bacteria
Also listed under: 7 other names
Description: tRNA-Ser
Rfam family: tRNA
About the family: Transfer RNA (tRNA) molecules are approximately 80 nucleotides in length. Their secondary structure includes four short double-helical elements and three loops (D, anti-codon, and T loops). Further hydrogen bonds mediate the characteristic L-shaped molecular structure. tRNAs have two regions of fundamental functional importance: the anti-codon, which is responsible for specific mRNA codon recognition, and the 3' end, to which the tRNAs corresponding amino acid is attached (by aminoacyl-tRNA synthetases). tRNAs cope with the degeneracy of the genetic code in two manners: having more than one tRNA (with a specific anti-codon) for a particular amino acid; and 'wobble' base-pairing, i.e. permitting non-standard base-pairing at the 3rd anti-codon position.
Source: RNAcentral
GGAGAGGUGGCUGAGCGGCUGAAAGCACUCGCCUGGAGAGCGAGUAGGUGGGUAACCCCUGCCUCGUGGGUUCAAAUCCCACCCUCUCCGCCA